Lepisosteus oculatus (spotted gar) is the source of this 555-nucleotide long non-coding RNA. RefSeq lists it as uncharacterized. Lineage: Eukaryota; Metazoa; Chordata; Actinopteri; Semionotiformes; Lepisosteidae. The record is from RefSeq and is a predicted model, not a curated record.
CAGGACCCGGGGCUUCAGUGUGCCCAGGACGUCAAUUUCAACACUGUCAUACUCAGUAAGGUCAGCAGAGGAACAAACAGAGUCUCAUCUGAGACCCUCAAAGUGGCGGAGACAGAUCACGCUGACUGGUCGGACUCGGUUGGCGAUUUGGACUCUGCAUUCCUUCUCCUGGAACCAGAGGAUCCUGGACUGUCCCGUUUCUAAAGAGCCCUCUACGCUUGGAUCCACUGGCCCGUGGGAGACGGAAGAGUUAGCCACCAAGCAAGACACGAGUGGCCCCUUCAGCCCAGCUGAUGAUGUGACCCAAAUUGCCCCUCUCCUGCACCGACCUCACAGUGGGAUGACAGUUUCCUGACAUAUUUUCAACCACUGUGUGUGAAAACACAAAUGUACAGAAAUACAAACAUGUUGAUGCAUAAUUUACCAGCAAAUAUCUUUUGAAACUACUAUCCUCAAUUAAGCUUCUGUUUUUAUUUCUGGUGCUAGGAUUCUGUGCCAAUCUGAUUGCUCACGAAAGCUGUUUGCAAGGUUGGAAAUGUACAGCAAUAAAGCACA